Molecule: ribosomal RNA, 253 nt
Filed under: uncultured bacterium
Lineage: Bacteria
Description: partial 16S ribosomal RNA
Rfam family: Bacterial small subunit ribosomal RNA
Source: RNAcentral
UACGGAGGAUCCAAGCGUUAUCCGGAUUUAUUGGGUUUAAAGGGUGCGUAGGCGGAUAAAUAAGUCAGUGGUGAAAGCCUGCAGCUUAACUGUAGAAUUGCCAUUGAUACUGUUUCUCUUGAAUGUAGUUGAGGUGGGCGGAAUAUGACAUGUAGUGGUGAAAUGCUUAGGUAUGUCAUAGAACACCGAUUGCGAAGGCAGCUCACUAAGCUAUAAUUGACGCUGAGGCACGAAAGCGUGGGGAGCAAACAGG